RNAcentral lists this ribosomal RNA (485 nucleotides) under uncultured bacterium. Its description in RNAcentral is "partial 16S ribosomal RNA". It matches the Rfam family "Bacterial small subunit ribosomal RNA", at positions 899 to 1397 of the family's 1533-position model. The record is from RNAcentral.
ACUCAAAGGAAUAGACGGGGACCCGCACAAGCGGUGGAGCAUGGGGUUUAAUUCGAUGCUACGCGAAGAACCUUACCGAGGUUUGACAUCCUAGGAAUCCGGCGGAAACGUUGGAGUGCCUUCGGGAACCUAGUGACAGGUGCUGCAUGGCCGUCGUCAGCUCGUGUUGUGAAAUGUUGGGUUAAGUCCCGCAACGAGCGCAACCCUUAUCGUAUGUUGAAUUUUUCAUACGAGACUGCCCGGGCCAACCGGGAGGAAGGUGGGGAUGACGUCAGGUCAGCAUGGCCCUUACACCUCGGGCCACACCCGUGCUACAAUGGCCGAUACAACGCGCUGCGAACCCGCGAGGGGGAGCUAAUCGCAUCAAAAUCGGUCUCAGUUCGGAUUGCAGGCUGAAACUCGCCUGCAUGAAGCUGGAAUCGCUAGUAAACGUGGGUCAGCAUACCACGUUGAAUACGUUCCCGGGUCUUGCACACACCGCCCGU